RNAcentral lists this ribosomal RNA (253 nucleotides) under uncultured bacterium. RNAcentral describes it as "partial 16S ribosomal RNA". It matches the Rfam family "Bacterial small subunit ribosomal RNA", at positions 524 to 776 of the family's 1533-position model. The record is from RNAcentral.
UACGUAGGGGGCUAGCGUUGUCCGGAAUCAUUGGGCGUAAAGAGCGUGUAGGCGGCCCGGUAAGUCCGCUGUGAAAGCCGGGGGCUCAACCCUCGGAUGCCGGUGGAUACUGUCGGGCUCGAGUACGGAAGAGGCGAGUGGAAUUCCUGGUGUAGCGGUGAAAUGCGCAGAUAUCAGGAGGAACACCUAUUGCGAAGGCAGCUCGCUGGGACGUUACUGACGCUGAGACGCGAAAGCGUGGGGAGCAAACAGG